Otolemur garnettii (small-eared galago) is the source of this 3006-nucleotide RNA transcript. It is a transcript of the gene named 60S ribosomal protein L26-like 1 pseudogene, with no coding region annotated. NCBI's taxonomy places the organism in Eukaryota, Metazoa, Chordata, Mammalia, Primates, Galagidae. The record is from RefSeq and is a predicted model, not a curated record. The transcript has a single exon.
AUGGAGAUUUUCUAUUUAUGUUUUUAUAAAUAUUUCUAGUACAUUUGAAUUGAGUUCUGACUACCUGCUCUAUAUAAUUUCAAUUUUUAAUUAAUUUGUUGAGACUUACUUUUAAGGUCAUAGAUAUAGCCAAUCUGAAAAUUUUGAAGUACACAGGAGUUGGCUGUAGUGUUUUAUUUAUAUAUAGUUACAUACAAACCACAUUCCUGACUUUAUUCAAAAGUUAAUCUGUAUUGACUUUUGCCUGCUUAGAUGUCAAUUACUGACAAGAUGCACUAAAAUUCUCUACAGACUUGACAGUUUCUGGUAAGUUCUAUCAACUUCUGCUUUAUAUUACAUAUAUUCAGAUUAUGUUAAUAGAUUCACCCAAAGUUACUACCGUAUCUUUACACUGACCUGAACUUUUAUCAUUACGAAGUGACCCUCUUCUCUAGAAUGCUUUUUUGGGGUCUUAAAUGUAACAUUAAUAUGAGACCAGUUUUCUUUUAAUAUUAUUUCUGUAACAAAUCUUCUAGCCUUUUACUUCUACCUUUUUUGUCUCCUGUAAACAGCACAAGAGUUGAAUUUUUAAUAUCUAGUAUGAUACCUUUAUGUUCUAACUGGAGUAUUUAAUUACUAAAUACAUUACAUUUAACAUGAAUGAUAUCUGAGUUUGAAUCCACAACCUUGUUUUGUGCUAUUUUCCCACCUGUCCUGGGUUUCUUCUUGUCCCCUUUCUCAUCUCUUUUUGGAUUAUUUACAAUCCUCCAUUUCCCCCUCUACUACCACAGAAGUCAGUCACUAUUUCCAUUCUUUACUACCUUAAAAAAACAGUGAUAUGCAAGGCUCACAAAAUUCAAAGCUAAACAAAAUCUAUAUCCUCUCCAUUAAUUCCAUUAUCUCUUCCAACUUAAAUGUUAUUAUUUUCAUGUAAUUUAAUCUUGGACUUUUUUCUGGCCUCCCCAACAUUAUUAAUAUUCUACAUUUACUUUGAAUUUUCUAAAUAUUUACCACCUUCUUUAUUCUUCAUUGCCUGUUACAUCUGACUUUUUCCACUCGGCAUCAACUUCUAAGAAUAGCCUUGAGAAUUUCCUUUAGUGAAGAUCUGUCAGUAGCUGCCUUGGUUUUUGUCUUAAAAAUGAUCUUCUUUUCACCCUCACUGUCGAAUUUUCCCCUCUAGUUGCUGGAUCACUAAACUAUCUACAUGUGGACUUAUUUUUAUUUAUCCUGCCUGGGCUUUUGCUUUUGUUUUUGGGUGGGAGUCUUAUCCAUUCUACAAAAUUUUUAGGCAUCAGCUCUACAAACCCCGGUUCUGUCCUCAGACAAACCUCUCAGCCUAUUCUCCCUGAUUCUUAAUUGGUCUUAGAAAUUACUCCUCGAUUGGUUCUUUAAGAUGAAUUCUGUAUAUUUUUUCUUCUGCUCCAUCUUCCAGUUAAUUUAUUAUCUUCAGUUCUAAGCUGCUAAUAAACCUAUCUCUUGGAUUUUUAUUGCAACUAUUAAACUUUUUGUAUCUAUAAGUUGUACAUGGUUUCCUGAAGUUUUCUAGGUCAUUUUAUAGUUUCUUGGUCCUUGUAGAUAUUUUCAAUCUUGCCUUUUACUUUAAGUAUAGUAAGGCAUUAAACAACUCCAUUAUCUUACGUUCUCACAGGUCUGUUCUUGCUGGCCUCCCUCACCGGGCUUUGAAUCUUCUGUGUUCAGUUAUUUAUAACUAUUGACUGCUCACUUUCCUCCCUGAACCUGAGAUAGUCCUUCAAAGAUCUGCUUAUUUGUGGCCUGGUCCACAGCACUGUCCUCCCAGGUCAACUCUAAAAUAAACACUCUUAAAUAAAAUCAGCUUGAGAAAUCCCCACCCGACUCAGGCUAUGUGAUCUGCACACAGGACAACUUAUAAUGCCCACUACUCAGGAGGCACCCUCCCACCUGCCCUGCUUCUAGAGUGGGAAGAGCACUUAGCUUGAAGGCUCAUAGUCCUUCAUGGUUCUAAUUCUCUGGGCGCAGGCCUCCCAUCAAGCCACAAACUUUGAUCUCUACCCCUAGUGCCUGCCAAUGCCAUCAAAACUCAAGACUUCCCAGUUUGCCAAAGGCCCUCAGAGUACUUCUUACUCUCCUAGCUUACUCCUUUCGACAUCUCUUUCUCAAUAUCUUGCAAAGCAUUCGAUGCUUUUCACAAGGUAGAUUUUUAUCUAUUAUCUAGCACGUGCCCUGGCCCAAAAUCAAGUCAGAAAACUGUUCCAGACAAUCCAGCCCCUCCUAUCACCAAAAACCCAGUGUCCCCCUUCCAUCCUUAAGCUAAUUGAUAUUUGGCAUUGUUGCCACUAACAGUGAAACCAAAUCCAAGCUGAUCAAGCUCUUACAAGAAAAGCAAGAGCGGAAUAGUCAGACUCCAGACGUUCACCAUGAAGUUCAAUCCCUUCGUGACCUCGGACUGCAGCAAAAACCACAAACGACAUUUUAAUGCCCCCUUGCAUGUACGCAGGAAGAUCAUGUCGUCUCUGCUAUCCAAAGAGCUUCGGCAGAAGUACAACAUGUGCUCCAUGACCAUCCGCAAGGACAAUGAAGUCCAGGUGGUUCGAGGACACUAUAAAGGUCAGCAAAUUGGCAAGGUAGUCCAGGUGUACAGAAAGAAAUACGUCAUCUACAUUGAGUGGGUGCAGCGUGAGAAGGCUAAUGGCACAACUGUCCACGUGGGCAUUCACCCAAGCAAGGUGGUUAUCACCAGGUUAAAACUGGACAAAGAUCGGCAAAAAAUUCUUGAACACAAAGCCAAGUCUCGACAAGUUGGAAAAGAGAAAGGCAAAUACAAGGAAGACCUUAUUGAGAAAAUGCAGGAAUGAAUAUAAUCUUUUGUGCAGCCAUGGUUUAACUGUAGUUUUUAGCCUAGCGUGUGUUUGGAACUUUUCAAAAAUGUACCUGGAAUAUUCCAUUUCCUUCCUGUUUUGUUGUUGACCUGUGGUUCUAUAAACCUACUCUUGCAAUUUUGAUUAAAAAUUUUAUGAAUAAAAAUUGGAAAUAUUUCUUAAUUCCAAA